Molecule: non-coding RNA, 298 nt
Organism: Microcebus murinus (gray mouse lemur)
Lineage: Eukaryota; Metazoa; Chordata; Mammalia; Primates; Cheirogaleidae
Source: RefSeq, a predicted model, not a curated record
UGUACACUCGUCAGUGUCUGGCUUUCACUCAGCAAACUCUGAGAUGCAUCCAGGUUUUUGCAUAUGGCCGUCUGUCUUGCCUGUGUUCAGCCAGUGGCGUUCCCAUGGAUCCUCCCCUUCAGGUCAAACAGGGACAGGCCAAGCCCCGCCCCUGAAGUUUCGACAGACGAGGUCGAGUGCUUCUCAGACCACAUGACGCUGUGGAUCCCAAGGAGCCACGUGGAGGGGCUGCGGCAGUGGUUGGGCAGAACCCUGCACGUGCCAGGUGUCUGGAGGUCCCCUGACUCCUGGCUUCUCU